AACCGGUACGGGCUCUGAGAGGGGGAGCCCGGAGAUGGACUCUGAGACAAGAGUCCAGGCCCUACGGGGCGCGGCAGGCGCGAAACCUCCGCAAUGCGCGUAAGCGUGACGGGGCCAUCCCGAGUGCCACCUAACGGUGGCUUUUGCCUAGCGUAAACAGCUAGGCGAAUAAGCGGGGGGCAAGACGGGUGUCAGCCGCCGCGGUAAUACCCGCUCCGCGAGUGGUGAGGAUGUUUACUGGGCUUAAAGCGUCCGUAGCCGGCUCGGCGUGUUCUCCGUUAAAUCCGGUGGCCUAACCAUCGGGCUGCGGGGAAUACUGCCGGGCUUGGGGGUGGGAGAGGCCGACGGUAUUCCCGGGGUAGGGGUAAAAUCCUCUGAUCCCGGGAGGACCACCAGUGGCGAAGGCGGUCGGCCAGAACACGCCC
Molecule: ribosomal RNA, 425 nt
Filed under: uncultured crenarchaeote
Lineage: Archaea; Thermoproteati; Thermoproteota
Description: bacterial SSU rRNA
Rfam family: Archaeal small subunit ribosomal RNA
Source: RNAcentral